AGAGUUUGAUCCUGGCUCAGAUUGAACGCUGGCGGCAGGCCUAACACAUGCAAGUCGAGCGGUAGCACAGAGAGCUUGCUCUCGGGUGACGAGCGGCGGACGGGUGAGUAAUGUCUGGGAAACUGCCUGAUGGAGGGGGAUAACUACUGGAAACGGUAGCUAAUACCGCAUAACGUCGCAAGACCAAAGUGGGGGACCUUCGGGCCUCAUGCCAUCAGAUGUGCCCAGAUGGGAUUAGCUAGUAGGUGGGGUAAUGGCUCACCUAGGCGACGAUCCCUAGCUGGUCUGAGAGGAUGACCAGCCACACUGGAACUGAGACACGGUCCAGACUCCUACGGGAGGCAGCAGUGGGGAAUAUUGCACAAUGGGCGCAAGCCUGAUGCAGCCAUGCCGCGUGUAUGAAGAAGGCCUUCGGGUUGUAAAGUACUUUCAGCGAGGAGGAAGGCGUUAAGGUUAAUAACCUUAGCGAUUGACGUUACUCGCAGAAGAAGCACCGGCUAACUCCGUGCCAGCAGCCGCGGUAAUACGGAGGGUGCAAGCGUUAAUCGGAAUUACUGGGCGUAAAGCGCACGCAGGCGGUCUGUCAAGUCGGAUGUGAAAUCCCCGGGCUCAACCUGGGAACUGCAUUCGAAACUGGCAGGCUAGAGUCUUGUAGAGGGGGGUAGAAUUCCAGGUGUAGCGGUGAAAUGCGUAGAGAUCUGGAGGAAUACCGGUGGCGAAGGCGGCCCCCUGGACAAAGACUGACGCUCAGGUGCGAAAGCGUGGGGAGCAAACAGGAUUAGAUACCCUGGUAGUCCACGCCGUAAACGAUGUCGACUUGGAGGUUGUGCCCUUGAGGCGUGGCUUCCGGAGCUAACGCGUUAAGUCGACCGCCUGGGGAGUACGGCCGCAAGGUUAAAACUCAAAUGAAUUGACGGGGGCCCGCACAAGCGGUGGAGCAUGUGGUUUAAUUCGAUGCAACGCGAAGAACCUUACCUACUCUUGACAUCCAGAGAACUUAGCAGAGAUGCUUUGGUGCCUUCGGGAACUCUGAGACAGGUGCUGCAUGGCUGUCGUCAGCUCGUGUUGUGAAAUGUUGGGUUAAGUCCCGCAACGAGCGCAACCCUUAUCCUUUGUUGCCAGCGGUUAGGCCGGGAACUCAAAGGAGACUGCCAGUGAUAAACUGGAGGAAGGUGGGGAUGACGUCAAGUCAUCAUGGCCCUUACGAGUAGGGCUACACACGUGCUACAAUGGCAUAUACAAAGAGAAGCGACCUCGCGAGAGCAAGCGGACCUCAUAAAGUAUGUCGUAGUCCGGAUUGGAGUCUGCAACUCGACUCCAUGAAGUCGGAAUCGCUAGUAAUCGUAGAUCAGAAUGCUACGGUGAAUACGUUCCCGGGCCUUGUACACACCGCCCGUCACACCAUGGGAGUGGGUUGCAAAAGAAGUAGGUAGCUUAACCUUCGGGAGGGCGCUUACCACUUUGUGAUUCAUGACUGGGGUGAAGUCGUAACAAGGUAGCCG
RNAcentral lists this ribosomal RNA (1502 nucleotides) under uncultured bacterium. Its description in RNAcentral is "16S ribosomal RNA". It matches the Rfam family "Bacterial small subunit ribosomal RNA". The record is from RNAcentral.